AUUAGUUUUUUAAUUGAAGGCUAGAAUGAAUGGUUGGACAAGAAAUAAUCUGUCUUAAUUAAAUAAAUUGAAUUUAACUUUUAAGUGAAAAGGCUUAAAUAAUCUAAAGGGACGAUAAGACCCUAUAAAACUUUAUAUUUAAUAAUAGUAAUUAAUUUUAUUUUAAGAUUAUUAUUUGAAAGUAUUUGGUUGGGGUGACAAGGAUAAAAUAUAAAAUAACUGUCUUUUUUUAUUACAAUAAUAUUUGGUUUAAUGAUCCUAAAAUGGAUUAAAGAUUAAGUUACUUUAGGGAUAACAGCGUAAUUUUCUUUAAGAGUUCUUAUCGACAAGAAAGUUUGCGACCUCGAUGUUGAAUUAAAA
Molecule: ribosomal RNA, 360 nt
Filed under: Faxonella clypeata
Lineage: Eukaryota; Metazoa; Arthropoda; Malacostraca; Decapoda; Cambaridae
Description: partial 16S ribosomal RNA
Source: RNAcentral